Salvia splendens (bonfire salvia) is the source of this 97-nucleotide small nucleolar RNA. RefSeq annotates it as small nucleolar RNA R64/Z200 family. NCBI's taxonomy places the organism in Eukaryota, Viridiplantae, Streptophyta, Magnoliopsida, Lamiales, Lamiaceae. The transcript has a single exon. The record is from RefSeq and is a predicted model, not a curated record.
AAGCUGCGGUGAUGAAUUAUGAAAUAAAUUCACAUGUCAGACUUCAGAGGUUAUUUAUAAUCUAUGAGAAGACUAUUUCAUUAUUCCUGAGCACUAU